Long non-coding RNA from Homo sapiens (human), 986 nucleotides. The record is from Ensembl. Lineage: Eukaryota; Metazoa; Chordata; Mammalia; Primates; Hominidae.
GGAUAUUGCAGGGGAUGGACCCAGAGGGAUGCGGGGGAAGAGGGUCUGGUUCUCUCUAGGGUGGUUCUGGUCCCCUCUGCGUCAUGCUUGGGAGUGGCCAGAGCCUCCUGGCAUAGUCAACAUGAGCAGUGGUCCCGGUUCCUUUCUUUUCUCCUCUCCCCAAGUGCUAUCCUGUUCAUGCCUGUGCUCAGAGCUUCCUCCCUUCUCUCCUGGGCUGUAGCUGAGGCUUGGAAAGGAGAAGGUCCCUGUUUCCUGCAGCUGAUCUGAUCUGGAGACACCCCCGUGUAGACUCUGGUUACAGCCAGAUGCUCAGGUUGCCGAGGGACUGCCGUAUGAUGACAACAUAAUGAGCAAAGUGAGGAGCUCUGAGCCAUUAAUACGGCUGCCCGGCUGAGGUACCAAACUGAUUGAACAAUACUUGAAAGGCUGAGGCUGGGGAGGCCAGUGGGGCUGGGUGGCCCUGCAACCACGUGGCUGCCUGUUGUCUUCCUUCAACUGCUGGAGGAUUUAAACAAUGUUCUUCAAAUGAGGUACUAGUGCUCAAGGACAGGGGCUGCCCCAGGCAAGGAGAGUAGCCUGGGGAGUUACCGGAAAAGCACCUACUGAAUCACCCAGCUACAGGAGCGGAGCGAGGGAGCAGGUGUGCACCAUCACCCCAGGUGUCUCAGAUGUAGGCUCCAUGAAUGCAGGGGCAAGAACGGAGGCCCAGCACCCAGGACUUGAGGUACGUGCGGAUGCGCUUGCGGGCCCGCUCCUGGAACUCAGGGAACUGCCGGCUGCAGGACUCGAUGAUGGCCUGGAUCUUCUCCUUGGGCUGCUUGGAGAUGGGCACCAUGCGGUCCAGGUUCUCGUCCACAAAGAGACGCACAAACAUCUGUGGAGACACGGGCCAUGGGAAGGGCUGGCCCUGGCCUUGCCCCCAUCCCACCCCACCUGUUUCCGGCCGGUGCUCACGUUGAAGGCCUUAAGACGCUCAGGGUCCAUGC